RNAcentral lists this ribosomal RNA (339 nucleotides) under Triticum aestivum (bread wheat). RNAcentral's name for it is "partial small subunit ribosomal RNA". The record is from RNAcentral. Lineage: Eukaryota; Viridiplantae; Streptophyta; Magnoliopsida; Poales; Poaceae.
AUGUUGUACUCCCUCCGUCUUAAAAUAAGUGUUUCAACCUUAGUACAAUUUUAUACUAAAGUUAGUACAAAACUGAGACACUUUUUUUGGGAUGGAGGGAGUACAUUAUUGUUAUAUCUUUUGCUUAUGUUGUACACAUCUAGAAUAGGCAACAAUGAGAUGGUCUACCUGCACGAAGUUCAGUUCAGAAACUGCAUGCAAAUGUUAAAAAUUCAGAAUGUUUGUAAGAGAGUAAAACAGAGAAGGGAGAGAAGGAACAACCAAGAUGCAAGCUUUGUGCUACCACUCAAUCACAUAUGGUCUACAAUCUUGGUUACUCAAUGUUCAGGUUAUUGUUGA